GAUGAGCGCUGGCGGCGUGCCUAAUACAUGCAAGUCGAGCGAACAGACGAGGAGCUUGCUCCUCUGACGUUAGCGGCGGACGGGUGAGUAACACGUGGAUAACCUACCUAUAAGACUGGGAUAACUUCGGGAAACCGGAGCUAAUACCGGAUAAUAUAUUGAACCGCAUGGUUCAAUAGUGAAAGACGGUUUUGCUGUCACUUAUAGAUGGAUCCGCGCCGCAUUAGCUAGUUGGUAAGGUAACGGCUUACCAAGGCAACGAUGCGUAGCCGACCUGAGAGGGUGAUCGGCCACACUGGAACUGAGACACGGUCCAGACUCCUACGGGGGGCAGCAGUAGGGAAUCUUCCGCAAUGGGCGAAAGCCUGACGGAGCAACACCGCGUGAGUGAUGAAGGUCUUCGGAUCGUAAAGCUCUGUUAUUAGGGAAGAACAAAUGUGUAAGUAACUAUGCACGUCUUGACGGUACCUAAUCAGAAAGCCACGGCUAACUACGUG
This 497-nucleotide ribosomal RNA is filed under the name uncultured bacterium. RNAcentral describes it as "partial 16S ribosomal RNA". It matches the Rfam family "Bacterial small subunit ribosomal RNA", at positions 28 to 507 of the family's 1533-position model. The record is from RNAcentral.